RNAcentral lists this ribosomal RNA (208 nucleotides) under uncultured bacterium. Its description in RNAcentral is "partial 16S ribosomal RNA". It matches the Rfam family "Bacterial small subunit ribosomal RNA", at positions 1285 to 1500 of the family's 1533-position model. The record is from RNAcentral.
GUCUCAGUUCGGAUUGGAGUCUGCAACUCGACUCCAUGAAGCUGGAUUCGCUAGUAAUCGCGCAUCAGCCAUGGCGCGGUGAAUACGUUCCCGGGCCUUGUACACACCGCCCGUCAAGCCAUGGAAGCCGGGGGUGCCUGAAGUGCGUGACCGCAAGGAGCGCCCUAAGGUAAAACCGGUGACUGGGGCUAAGUCGUAACAAGGUAAC